This 577-nucleotide ribosomal RNA is filed under the name Campylobacter coli. Its description in RNAcentral is "partial 23S ribosomal RNA". It matches the Rfam family "Bacterial large subunit ribosomal RNA", at positions 1 to 591 of the family's 2925-position model. RNAcentral also lists the same sequence under 1 other name. Lineage: Bacteria; Pseudomonadati; Campylobacterota; Epsilonproteobacteria; Campylobacterales; Campylobacteraceae. The record is from RNAcentral.
AAAGGUAAGCUACUAAGAGCGAAUGGUGGAUGCCUUGACUGGUAAAGGCGAUGAAGGACGUACUAGACUGCGAUAAGCUACGGGGAGCUGUCAAGAAGCUUUGAUCCGUAGAUUUCCGAAUGGGGCAACCCAAUGUAUAGAGAUAUACAUUACCUAUAUAGGAGCGAACGAGGGGAAUUGAAACAUCUUAGUACCCUCAGGAAAAGAAAUCAAUAGAGAUUGCGUCAGUAGCGGCGAGCGAAAGCGCAAGAGGGCAAACCCAGUGCUUGCACUGGGGGUUGUAGGACUGCAAUGUGCAAGAGGUGAGUUUAGCAGAACAUUCUGGAAAGUAUAGCCAUAGAGGGUGAUAGUCCCGUAUGCGAAAAACAAACCUUAGCUAGCAGUAUCCUGAGUAGGGCGGGACACGAGAAAUCCUGUCUGAAGCUGGGUCGACCACGAUCCAACCCUAAAUACUAAUACCAGAUCGAUAGUGCACAAGUACCGUGAGGGAAAGGUGAAAAGAACUGAGGUGAUCAGAGUGAAAUAGAACCUGAAACCAUUUGCUUACAAUCAUUCAGAGCCCUAUGUAGCAAUACAG